GGAGAAUUAGCUCAGCUGGGAGCGCAUCUGCCUUACAAGCAGAGGGUCGGCGGUUCGAACCCGUCAUUCUCCACCA
Molecule: transfer RNA, 76 nt
Filed under: Escherichia coli
Lineage: Bacteria; Pseudomonadati; Pseudomonadota; Gammaproteobacteria; Enterobacterales; Enterobacteriaceae
Also listed under: 1 other name
Description: tRNA-Val
Rfam family: tRNA
About the family: Transfer RNA (tRNA) molecules are approximately 80 nucleotides in length. Their secondary structure includes four short double-helical elements and three loops (D, anti-codon, and T loops).
Source: RNAcentral